This 797-nucleotide ribosomal RNA is filed under the name uncultured Pseudomonadota bacterium. RNAcentral's name for it is "bacterial SSU rRNA". It matches the Rfam family "Bacterial small subunit ribosomal RNA", at positions 74 to 902 of the family's 1533-position model. The record is from RNAcentral. Lineage: Bacteria; Pseudomonadati; Pseudomonadota.
GUGGAGCAAUCCAUGAGUACAGUGGCGCACGGGUGAGUAACACGUGAAUCAUCUACCUCCGAGUGGGGAAUAACCUAGAGAAAUCUGGGCUAAUACCGCAUAACACUUACGAGUCAAAGCAGCAAUGCGCUUGGAGAGGAGUUCGCGGCAGAUUAGUUAGUUGGCGGGGUAAUGGCCCACCAAGACGAUGAUCUGUAUCCGGCCUGAGAGGGCGCACGGACACACUGGAACUGAAACACGGUCCAGACUCCUACGGGAGGCAGCAGUGGGGAAUUUUGCGCAAUGGGGGAAACCCUGACGCAGCAACGCCGCGUGGAGGAUGAAAUCCCUUGGGAUGUAAACUCCUUUCGAUUGGGAAGAUUAUGACGGUACCAAUAGAAGAAGCCCCGGCUAACUUCGUGCCAGCAGCCGCGGUAAUACGAGGGGGGCAAGCGUUGUUCGGAAUUAUUGGGCGUAAAGGGCGCGUAGGCGGUUUGACAAGUCUGAUGUGAAAUCUAUGGGCUCAACCCAUAGCCUGCAUUAGAAACUGUCGGGCUUGAGUAUGGGAGAGGUGAGUGGAAUUUCCGGUGUAGCGGUGAAAUGCGUAGAUAUCGGAAGGAACACCUGUGGCGAAAGCGGCUCACUGGACCAUAACUGACGCUGAGGCGCGAAAGCUAGGGGAGCAAACAGGAUUAGAUACCCUGGUAGUCCUAGCCCUAAACGAUGAUUGCUUGGUGUGACAGGUACCCAAUCCUGUCGUGCCGAAGCUAACGCGAUAAGCAAUCCGCCUGGGGAGUACGGUCGCAAGGCUGAAACUC